RNAcentral lists this ribosomal RNA (252 nucleotides) under uncultured bacterium. RNAcentral's name for it is "partial 16S ribosomal RNA". It matches the Rfam family "Bacterial small subunit ribosomal RNA", at positions 81 to 334 of the family's 1533-position model. The record is from RNAcentral.
UACCUUGGUGGCGACCGGCGCACGGGUGAGUAACGCGUAUGCAACCUGCCCGAUACCGGGGUAUAGCCCAUGGAAACGUGGAUUAACACCCCAUAGUACUUUUAUCCUGCCUGGGAUGGGAGUUAAAUGUUCAAGGUAUCGGAUGGGCAUGCGUCCUAUUAGUUAGUUGGCGGGGUAACAGCCCACCAAGACGAUGAUAGGUAGGGGUUCUGAGAGGAAGGUCCCCCACAUUGGAACUGAGACACGGUCCAA